CAGUAGCCGCGGUAAUACAGAGGGUGCGAGCGUUAAUCGGAUUUACUGGGCGUAAAGCGCGCGUAGGUGGUUUGUUAAGUUGGAUGUGAAAUCCCCGGGCUCAACCUGGGAACUGCAUCCAAAACUGGCAAGCUAGAGUAUGGUAGAGGGUGGUGGAAUUUCAUGUGUAGCGGUGAAAUGCGUAGAUAUAGGAAGGAACACCAGUGGCGAAGGCGACCACCUGGACUGAUACUGACACUGAGGUGCGAAAGCGUGGGGAGCAAACAGGAUUAGAUACCCCAGUAGUCCCUGUCUCUUAUAC
RNAcentral lists this ribosomal RNA (301 nucleotides) under uncultured bacterium. RNAcentral describes it as "partial 16S ribosomal RNA". It matches the Rfam family "Bacterial small subunit ribosomal RNA", at positions 509 to 807 of the family's 1533-position model. The record is from RNAcentral.